GUGGGAGCUGGCUUGCCUGCGAUGGCGGUGUGUCAGUCACCGAAAAUGUUGGUGAUCUGCCGCUAUCGCAGGCAAGCCAGCUCCCAC
This 87-nucleotide unclassified non-coding RNA is filed under the name Pseudomonas sp. bs2935. The record is from RNAcentral. Lineage: Bacteria; Pseudomonadati; Pseudomonadota; Gammaproteobacteria; Pseudomonadales; Pseudomonadaceae.